Molecule: ribosomal RNA, 468 nt
Filed under: uncultured bacterium
Lineage: Bacteria
Description: partial 16S ribosomal RNA
Rfam family: Bacterial small subunit ribosomal RNA
Source: RNAcentral
GACGAACGCUGGCGGUGUGCUUAACACAUGCAAGUCGAACGGUAAGGCCCUUUCGGGGGUACACGAGUGGCGAACGGGUGAGUAACACGUGAGUAACCUGCCCUCAUCUCUGGGAUAACAGUCGGAAACGGUUGCUAAUACUGGAUAUGAGCCUGCAAGGCAUCUUGUGGGUUGGAAAGAUUUUUUUUGGUUGGGGAUGGACUCGCGGCCUAUCAGCUUGUUGGUGAGGUAGUGGCUCACCAAGGCUUCGACGGGUAGCCGGCCUGAGAGGGCGACCGGCCACAUUGGAACUGAGAUACGGCCCAAACUCCUACGGGAGGCAGCAGUGGGGAAUAUUGCACAAUGGACGGAAGUCUGAUGCAGCAACGCCGCGUGCGGGAUGACGGCCUUCGGGUUGUAAACCGCUUUCAAUUGUGACGAAGCUUUUUUGUGACGGUAGCAGUAGAAGAAGCACCGGCUAACUACGUG